GAGUUUGUCGGUUGGUCGGGCUUCACUGUCCGCACUGGCCUGAUGGAUUCCUACCUUCUGAAUAACCAGCAUGCUAUUAAUUUAGUGCGUUGGGGAAGCAGAGCUAUUACCUUGAAAAAAUUAGAGUGCUUAAAGCAGGCUUACGCUUGAAUAGAUUAGCAUGGAAUAAUAAAAUAGGACGGCUUGGUUCUAUUUUGUUGGUUUCUAGGAUCACCGUA
RNAcentral lists this ribosomal RNA (218 nucleotides) under Acaulospora laevis. RNAcentral's name for it is "partial 18S ribosomal RNA". The stretch from base 47 to 218 matches the Rfam family "Eukaryotic small subunit ribosomal RNA", at positions 692 to 864 of the family's 1831-position model. RNAcentral also lists the same sequence under 2 other names. The record is from RNAcentral. Lineage: Eukaryota; Fungi; Glomeromycota; Glomeromycetes; Diversisporales; Acaulosporaceae.